Molecule: ribosomal RNA, 468 nt
Filed under: uncultured bacterium
Lineage: Bacteria
Description: partial 16S ribosomal RNA
Rfam family: Bacterial small subunit ribosomal RNA
Source: RNAcentral
GACGAACGCUGGCGGCGUGCUUAACACAUGCAAGUCGAACGGAAAGGCCCUGCUUUUGUGGGGUACUCGAGUGGCGAACGGGUGAGUAACACGUGAGUAACCUGCCCUUGACUUUGGGAUAACUUCAGGAAACUGGGGCUAAUACCGGAUAGGAGCUCCUGCUGCAUGGUGGGGGUUGGAAAGUUUCGGCGGUUGGGGAUGGACUCGCGGCUUAUCAGCUUGUUGGUGGGGUAGUGGCUUACCAAGGCUUUGACGGGUAGCCGGCCUGGGAGGGUGACCGGGCACAUUGGGACUGAGAUACGGACCAGACUCCUACGGGAGGCAGCAGUGGGGAAUAUGGCACAAUGGGCGGAAGCCUGAGGCAGCAACGCCGCGUGCGGGAUGACGGCCUUCGGGUUGUAAACCGCUUUCGCAUGUGACGAAGCGUGAGUGACGGUAAUGGGUAAAGAAGCACCGGCUAACUACGUG